Musca domestica (house fly) is the source of this 1118-nucleotide long non-coding RNA. RefSeq lists it as uncharacterized. Lineage: Eukaryota; Metazoa; Arthropoda; Insecta; Diptera; Muscidae. The record is from RefSeq and is a predicted model, not a curated record. The transcript is spliced from 4 exons.
AUAUAUAGUUAUAGUUCGAGAUGUGUUAAGUCCGCACCGAUCUCCCACCAUCUUACUAAUGACGCCAAGGGUAUGCAUAGAAAAGCAAAUGCACUUCUUAAUAUCCUUUUAAUCUUAUUGGUCUUAUUGGUUUGGUGUGGUGAUUGCUGUCUCUGCUGUCUUUACUUCAAGCGCGCGCUUCCCACUUCCCACGUUGCGAGCGUGGGAAACAAAAAUGAAAAACGUCCCAACGAAGCGAAUAUAAAGGCCAAAAAGCAAUACUUGAUAAAAAAAUAAACAGAAAGCAAAGACUCCGGGUACUCUGUUGUUUACGAAUGAGACAUGAGAAAAUUGAACAUCUUCACUAAAGAGCGCGGAACUAGCUGCUACUAUCGUUGAGUCUUCUUCUUUUCAGUACAAUGAUAACAUACAAAGCGAAUGGUUAACAUAAUACUUAGAACUAUAUUCGUCUUGUUCUAACUAUAGUGAUUGAAGCAUUUGCUACAUGCGAACGAUAACAAAGAGUAAAAAGAUAAAAACAAUGGUUGUGAGAGAGAGGCUUGCUCAUUGCCUCAGCUGUGACGAACAGACAAAACAAAACUUAAAAAAACUAAAUAACAAAUAGAUCUGUUUUAGACAGCGACUAACAGAUUUGUAUGUGUAAAUAUCACAGAUUUGUUUUAAAUAACAUGAAUUGUUAUAAAAUCGAAUGCUCAGAACUGUGGUAGUGUGUAUACAGCGGAAUCUUCAUCGGGUUCAUUUAUAAUUCCUAUUGGAGACAAAUAUGGUGAUUCCGACCAGUUCGUGUAUUUUUCCAGAUCGUGGAUUUCAUUUAGGAGGAAGUUCCCAUGCGUGGCCAGUUUUUCAACAAAUCUCUUCUGUUGGUUUUGUGCAUACUUACAGAGAGGAACAAUACUUGAUGUAUUGUAAAUGAUUUCCAGUUCUUUGGCUACUAUUGGUGAAAUGGUAAACCAGACCGGGAACCCAUACAAUAAAAUAGGCCUUAUCGCUACUUUAUAGAGAAGUAGUUUUGUGUUCUGGGAUCGUGCGUGCUGGUUGAAUUUGAAAAGGUUGGUGAAAUGAACCCCAAAAAUUUUAUUGACGUUUUCAAUGGGAUUUCAAUGUCUUCAAAUGUCAAC